This 185-nucleotide non-coding RNA is filed under the name Arenimonas sp. RNAcentral's name for it is "6S RNA". It matches the Rfam family "6S / SsrS RNA". Rfam says of the family: E. coli 6S RNA was the first non coding RNA to be sequenced, but its function was unknown until recently. It consists of 184 nucleotides that fold into an extended hairpin structure with a large single-stranded internal bulge. Lineage: Bacteria; Pseudomonadati; Pseudomonadota; Gammaproteobacteria; Lysobacterales; Lysobacteraceae. The record is from RNAcentral.
UGUCCUCUGCCGUGUCCGACAGCGUGCAAAACAUUCGCCUUGUCCCAUAAACACGACCCGGGAACCUGCGGUAGCCGCGGUGCGCAUGUCCGCCCUGUUGCGGAAAGCCUGAAGGGGCUGCACAGGUACCCACUUGAUCCCAGGGAUCAAGGUCGUUUCGCCCGCAUCGGCAUGGCGGAGGAUAU